AUCAUUGUGACUUCAAAAGGCCAUUCCACAGUUCUAUCAAUCCAGCUUCUUCAGGAUGAUGGGGAACAUGGAUCACUGUGAUUAACUAGCCAAUGCCAGAGCUCUACACAAAUCAAACUAUCCUGAUUGCUGCUUUGCCUAUGUUGUCCAUGAUGGUAGCUAUGCCCACUGUGCCUUUGAUGGAUGAGUGCCACCACUUGGCUCCUGCCACCUUGGGUUCCAAUUAUCCCCAUUGCAUUUAAAUUUUGUUGUUGAGUGACUAUGGUUCCCACUGUUAGAUAUGGUAUCCGGAGAAAAGCAACACAUACAGAACUCUUCAAAGACGCAGGUGCUGCCUUCACAAAUCUGUUUUCCAAAGCAUUGGUAAAAGUGUCCCACAAUAGGCCAUCUGUAAGCCGAGGAGAAAGGAAGCCAGUUGAAGUCCCAAAGCUGAAGAGCUUGGAGUCCAAUGUUUGAGGGCAUGGAGCAUCCAGCACUGGAGAAAGAGAGGAUGGUAGGUUAGGAAAAGACAUACAGGCCAUCUUCCCCAUCCCUGAAUAGAAGCUCAGCUCCUGAAAUCGUUUGGGUAAGCAAUUGCUGAUUUUAGUCAAAUUCCCUCACUUCACAAAAAGUGAAGUUUCUGAAAAGUAAUACAGCAGGCAAAGAAAAUCUGCAGGAGACAGCAGAAGGAAAAGCAAUUAUUCUGAAUAAUCUACACAUAAAUUGCUGUAACUUCUCACCUGGAUUCCAGAGCUCUCAUGAAGAAAUAUGAUUUUGUUUGAUAUUUACCACCCCCUUCAAUUCUGAGGAGCGAUUACUUCCAAAUGAGGCAUGUAUGCUGAGUUGUUCUUUGACUCAUCUAUAAAGUUACAAUGGAAUGACAGAAUUAACAAUGUGCUAAAGACUUUCUAAGAUGUGAGAAAUUACCAGCUUUAAGAGGCAUAAAGGGUAUCUCUGCAGGUAUUUGCAGAUAUUUGCAGCUUUUAGCAAAUUGAGGGAAUUUGAAUUUCUAACAUCAAAAUGCAAUGUACAAAGGAGGAAAAAAUAUGACUCACCCAGCCCCCAAAUUUCAUAUUUAUAUCUCUGAUUGAAUCUGGUUUUAAAGGCGAAAUUUUAAAGGAAUAAAAGGCAAAAAAGAAAAAAAGAAAAUGAAGAAAGAGAAGAAAGGAAGGAAACUUUGCUCUCUUACUGG
Long non-coding RNA from Pan troglodytes (chimpanzee), 1171 nucleotides. RefSeq lists it as uncharacterized. Lineage: Eukaryota; Metazoa; Chordata; Mammalia; Primates; Hominidae. The transcript is spliced from 13 exons. The record is from RefSeq and is a predicted model, not a curated record.